This 549-nucleotide ribosomal RNA is filed under the name uncultured Glomeromycotina. RNAcentral's name for it is "SSU rRNA". It matches the Rfam family "Eukaryotic small subunit ribosomal RNA", at positions 548 to 1098 of the family's 1831-position model. The record is from RNAcentral. Lineage: Eukaryota; Fungi; Glomeromycota.
UUGGAGGGCAAGUCUGGUGCCAGCAGCCGCGGUAAUUCCAGCUCCAAUAGCGUAUAUUAAAGUUGUUGCAGUUAAAAAGCUCGUAGUUGAAUUUCGAGAUCAGUACGCUGGUCGUGCCUUCGGUAUGCACUGGUGUCACUGGUUUCUCCCUUCUGAAGAACUGUCAUGUCAUUAAGUUGGUGUGGCGGGGAAUCAGGACUGUUACUUUGAAAAAAUUAGAGUGUUUAAAGCAGGCUCGCGCUUGAAUACAUUAGCAUGGAAUAAUGAAAUAGGACGUUUGACCCUAUUUUGUUGGUUUCUAGGAUCGACGUAAUGAUUAAUAGGGAUAGUUGGGGGCAUUAGUAUUCAAUUGUCAGAGGUGAAAUUCUUGGAUUUAUUGAAGACUAACUACUGCGAAAGCAUUUGCCAAGGAUGUUUUCAUUAAUCAAGAACGAAAGUUAGGGGAUCGAAGACGAUCAGAUACCGUCGUAGUCUUAACCAUAAACUAUGCCGACUAGGGAUCGGAUGAUGUUAAUUUUUUAAUGACUCAUUCGGCGCCUUACGGGAAAC